Non-coding RNA from Biscogniauxia marginata, 107 nucleotides. The record is from the annotation of a GenBank genome assembly. NCBI's taxonomy places the organism in Eukaryota, Fungi, Ascomycota, Sordariomycetes, Xylariales, Xylariaceae.
GGUGAGAUGGCCGAGUGGUUAUGGCGCUGCGUUCAGGUUACAACUUGAAUCAUGAUAGAAAUAUCGCAGUGGAGCAAUCCGCGUGGGUUCGAGUCCCACUCUCAUCA